This 100-nucleotide signal recognition particle RNA is filed under the name Alphaproteobacteria bacterium. RNAcentral's name for it is "signal recognition particle sRNA small type". It matches the Rfam family "Bacterial small signal recognition particle RNA". From Rfam's summary of the family: The signal recognition particle (SRP) is a universally conserved ribonucleoprotein involved in the co-translational targeting of proteins to membranes. The record is from RNAcentral. Lineage: Bacteria; Pseudomonadati; Pseudomonadota; Alphaproteobacteria.
GAAGGCUGGCGAACGGACGGGCGUCUCGCCAACCCGGUCAGGUCCGGAAGGAAGCAGCCGUAAAGAGUUUUUGUCCCGGGUUGUUUGUCCAGUCUUCCAC